CUCAUAGUUUGCUCAGGUUUUGACUGUGUGACUAUAAAAGCUGUAAGAUAGCUGUAGUACUGCUUUAGCUUUAUACUAGCAGUCAGUUUGCCCCGGGCAGCACUCUUGUGGGGCGUCUCUGGAGCAUGCAAGUCCCAUCCCAUCCCCGUGUCUCAUUUGAAAAGUGCCACCGGAGCCGUGAAAUUUUCCUGUGGGCUGCAGCACCUGAGGCAAG
This is a non-coding RNA of Pelobates cultripes (western spadefoot toad), 214 nucleotides long. Lineage: Eukaryota; Metazoa; Chordata; Amphibia; Anura; Pelobatidae. The record is from the annotation of a GenBank genome assembly.